AGCGGGGUAUUGAAAUGGCAUCAUACGUGGCUCAUAACCAUGAGUUGGGCGGUUCGAAUCCCUCCCCCGCUACCA
This 75-nucleotide transfer RNA is filed under the name bacterium. RNAcentral's name for it is "tRNA-Met". It matches the Rfam family "tRNA". From Rfam's summary of the family: Transfer RNA (tRNA) molecules are approximately 80 nucleotides in length. Their secondary structure includes four short double-helical elements and three loops (D, anti-codon, and T loops). Further hydrogen bonds mediate the characteristic L-shaped molecular structure. tRNAs have two regions of fundamental functional importance: the anti-codon, which is responsible for specific mRNA codon recognition, and the 3' end, to which the tRNAs corresponding amino acid is attached (by aminoacyl-tRNA synthetases). tRNAs cope with the degeneracy of the genetic code in two manners: having more than one tRNA (with a specific anti-codon) for a particular amino acid; and 'wobble' base-pairing, i.e. permitting non-standard base-pairing at the 3rd anti-codon position. The record is from RNAcentral.